Molecule: ribosomal RNA, 477 nt
Filed under: uncultured bacterium
Lineage: Bacteria
Description: bacterial SSU rRNA
Rfam family: Bacterial small subunit ribosomal RNA
Source: RNAcentral
UCAGUCGACUCCUACGGGGAGGCAGCAUGGGGGAAUAUUGCACAAUGGGGGAAACCCUGAUGCAGCCAUGCCGCGUGUGUGAAGAAGGACCUUCGGGUUGUAAAGCACUUUCAGUAGGGAGGAAGGUAGUGUAGUUAAUACCUGCAUUAUUUGACGUUACCUACAGAAGAAGCACCGGCUAACUCCGUGCCAGCAGCCGCGGUAAUACGGAGGGUGCGAGCGUUAAUCGGAAUUACUGGGCGUAAAGCGCAUGCAGGCGGCCUGUUAAGUCAGAUGUGAAAGCCCGGGGCUUAACCUCGGAAUUGCAUUUGAAACUGGCAGGCUAGAGUCUUGUAGAGGGGGGGUAGGAAUUUCAGGUGUAGCGGUGAAAUGCGUAGAGAUCUGAAGGAAUACCAGUGGCGAAGGCGGCCCCCUGGACAAAGACUGACGCUCAGAUGCGAAAGCGUGGGGAGCAAACAGGAUUAGAUACCCUGGUAG